UAUGUAGGCAGCAAGCGUUGUUCGGAAUUACUGGGCGUAAAGAGUGUGUAGGCGGUUCUCUAAGUUCCGUGUGAAAUCUCCCGGCUCAACUGGGAGGGUGCGCGGGAAACUGGAGUGCUAGAGGAUGGGAGAGGUAAGCGGAAUUCCUGGUGUAGCGGUGAAAUGCGUAGAUAUCAGGAGGAACACCUGCGGUGUAGACAGCUUUCUGGACCACCACUGACGCUGAGACACGAAAGCGUGGGUAGCAAACAGG
This 253-nucleotide ribosomal RNA is filed under the name uncultured bacterium. RNAcentral describes it as "partial 16S ribosomal RNA". It matches the Rfam family "Bacterial small subunit ribosomal RNA", at positions 524 to 776 of the family's 1533-position model. The record is from RNAcentral.